UUAAGCGACUAAGCGUACACGGUGGAUGCCCUGGCAGUCAGAGGCGAUGAAGGACGUGCUAAUCUGCGAUAAGCGUCGGUAAGGUGAUAUGAACCGUUAUAACCGGCGAUUUCCGAAUGGGGAAACCCAGUGUGUUUCGACACACUAUCAUUAACUGAAUCCAUAGGUUAAUGAGGCGAACCGGGGGAACUGAAACAUCUAAGUACCCCGAGGAAAAGAAAUCAACCGAGAUUCCCCCAGUAGCGGCGAGCGAACGGGGGGCAGCCCAGAGCCUGAAUCAGUGUGUGUGUUAGUGGAAGCGUCUGGAAAGGCGUGCGAUACAGGGUGACAGCCCCGUACACAAAAAUGCACAUGCUGUGAGCUCGAUGAGUAGGGCGGGACACGUGGUAUCCUGUCUGAAUAUGGGGGGACCAUCCUCCAAGGCUAAAUACUCCUGACUGACCGAUAGUGAACCAGUACCGUGAGGGAAAGGCGAAAAGAACCCCGGCGAGGGGAGUGAAAAAGAACCUGAAACCGUGUACGUACAAGCAGUGGGAGCACGCUUAGGCGUGUGACUGCGUACCUUUUGUAUAAUGGGUCAGCGACUUAUAUUCUGUAGCAAGGUUAACCGAAUAGGGGAGCCGAAGGGAAACCGAGUCUUAACUGGGCGUUAAGUUGCAGGGUAUAGACCCGAAACCCGGUGAUCUAGCCAUGGGCAGGUUGAAGGUUGGGUAACACUAACUGGAGGACCGAACCGACUAAUGUUGAAAAAUUAGCGGAUGACUUGUGGCUGGGGGUGAAAGGCCAAUCAAACCGGGAGAUAGCUGGUUCUCCCCGAAAGCUAUUUAGGUAGCGCCUCGUGAAUUCAUCUCCGGGGGUAGAGCACUGUUUCGGCAAGGGGGUCAUCCCGACUUACCAACCCGAUGCAAACUGCGAAUACCGGAGAAUGUUAUCACGGGAGACACACGGCGGGUGCUAACGUCCGUCGUGAAGAGGGAAACAACCCAGACCGCCAGCUAAGGUCCCAAAGUCAUGGUUAAGUGGGAAACGAUGUGGGAAGGCCCAGACAGCCAGGAUGUUGGCUUAGAAGCAGCCAUCAUUUAAAGAAAGCGUAAUAGCUCACUGGUCGAGUCGGCCUGCGCGGAAGAUGUAACGGGGCUAAACCAUGCACCGAAGCUGCGGCAGCGACGCUUAUGCGUUGUUGGGUAGGGGAGCGUUCUGUAAGCCUGCGAAGGUGUGCUGUGAGGCAUGCUGGAGGUAUCAGAAGUGCGAAUGCUGACAUAAGUAACGAUAAAGCGGGUGAAAAGCCCGCUCGCCGGAAGACCAAGGGUUCCUGUCCAACGUUAAUCGGGGCAGGGUGAGUCGACCCCUAAGGCGAGGCCGAAAGGCGUAGUCGAUGGGAAACAGGUUAAUAUUCCUGUACUUGGUGUUACUGCGAAGGGGGGACGGAGAAGGCUAUGUUGGCCGGGCGACGGUUGUCCCGGUUUAAGCGUGUAGGCUGGUUUUCCAGGCAAAUCCGGAAAAUCAAGGCUGAGGCGUGAUGACGAGGCACUACGGUGCUGAAGCAACAAAUGCCCUGCUUCCAGGAAAAGCCUCUAAGCAUCAGGUAACAUCAAAUCGUACCCCAAACCGACACAGGUGGUCAGGUAGAGAAUACCAAGGCGCUUGAGAGAACUCGGGUGAAGGAACUAGGCAAAAUGGUGCCGUAACUUCGGGAGAAGGCACGCUGAUAUGUAGGUGAGGUCCCUCGCGGAUGGAGCUGAAAUCAGUCGAAGAUACCAGCUGGCUGCAACUGUUUAUUAAAAACACAGCACUGUGCAAACACGAAAGUGGACGUAUACGGUGUGACGCCUGCCCGGUGCCGGAAGGUUAAUUGAUGGGGUUAGCGCAAGCGAAGCUCUUGAUCGAAGCCCCGGUAAACGGCGGCCGUAACUAUAACGGUCCUAAGGUAGCGAAAUUCCUUGUCGGGUAAGUUCCGACCUGCACGAAUGGCGUAAUGAUGGCCAGGCUGUCUCCACCCGAGACUCAGUGAAAUUGAACUCGCUGUGAAGAUGCAGUGUACCCGCGGCAAGACGGAAAGACCCCGUGAACCUUUACUAUAGCUUGACACUGAACAUUGAGCCUUGAUGUGUAGGAUAGGUGGGAGGCUUUGAAGUGUGGACGCCAGUCUGCAUGGAGCCGACCUUGAAAUACCACCCUUUAAUGUUUGAUGUUCUAACGUUGACCCGUAAUCCGGGUUGCGGACAGUGUCUGGUGGGUAGUUUGACUGGGGCGGUCUCCUCCUAAAGAGUAACGGAGGAGCACGAAGGUUGGCUAAUCCUGGUCGGACAUCAGGAGGUUAGUGCAAUGGCAUAAGCCAGCUUGACUGCGAGCGUGACGGCGCGAGCAGGUGCGAAAGCAGGUCAUAGUGAUCCGGUGGUUCUGAAUGGAAGGGCCAUCGCUCAACGGAUAAAAGGUACUCCGGGGAUAACAGGCUGAUACCGCCCAAGAGUUCAUAUCGACGGCGGUGUUUGGCACCUCGAUGUCGGCUCAUCACAUCCUGGGGCUGAAGUAGGUCCCAAGGGUAUGGCUGUUCGCCAUUUAAAGUGGUACGCGAGCUGGGUUUAGAACGUCGUGAGACAGUUCGGUCCCUAUCUGCCGUGGGCGCUGGAGAACUGAGGGGGGCUGCUCCUAGUACGAGAGGACCGGAGUGGACGCAUCACUGGUGUUCGGGUUGUCAUGCCAAUGGCACUGCCCGGUAGCUAAAUGCGGAAGAGAUAAGUGCUGAAAGCAUCUAAGCACGAAACUUGCCCCGAGAUGAGUUCUCCCUGACCCUUUAAGGGUCCUGAAGGAACGUUGAAGACGACGACGUUGAUAGGCCGGGUGUGUAAGCGCAGCGAUGCGUUGAGCUAACCGGUACUAAUGAACCGUGAGGCUUAACCUU
Molecule: ribosomal RNA, 2902 nt
Filed under: Escherichia coli K-12
Lineage: Bacteria; Pseudomonadati; Pseudomonadota; Gammaproteobacteria; Enterobacterales; Enterobacteriaceae
Description: bacterial LSU rRNA
Rfam family: Bacterial large subunit ribosomal RNA
Source: RNAcentral